UACAUAGGGGGCAAGCGUUGUCCGGAAUCAUUGGGCGUAAAGCGCAUGUAGGCGGCCAUGUAAGUCGGAUGUGAAAUCCCGAAGCUCAACUUCGGAACUGCACCCGGUACUGCAUGGCUUGAGGAAGGUAGAGGAGAGUGGAAUUCCCGGAGUAGCGGUGGAAUGCGCAGAUAUCGGGAGGAACACCAGCGGCGAAGGCGGCUCUCUGGGCCUCUCUUGACGCUGAGAUGCGAAAGCGUGGGUAGCGAACAGG
This 253-nucleotide unclassified non-coding RNA is filed under the name uncultured Nitriliruptoraceae bacterium. RNAcentral describes it as "contains 16S-23S intergenic spacer region". It matches the Rfam family "Bacterial small subunit ribosomal RNA", at positions 524 to 776 of the family's 1533-position model. The record is from RNAcentral. Lineage: Bacteria; Bacillati; Actinomycetota; Nitriliruptoria; Nitriliruptorales; Nitriliruptoraceae.